GUGUACGGCCACGCUGCCCUGAACGCGCCCGAUCUCGUCUGAUCUCGGAAGCUAAGCAGGGUCGGGCCCAGUUAGUACGUGGGUGGGAGACCACCUAGGAAGACCGGGUGCUGUAGGCG
This 119-nucleotide ribosomal RNA is filed under the name Pteropus alecto (black flying fox). The record is from RNAcentral. Lineage: Eukaryota; Metazoa; Chordata; Mammalia; Chiroptera; Pteropodidae.